UACGGAGGGUUCAAGCGUUAUCCGGAUUCACUGGGUUUAAAGGGUGCGUAGGUGGGCUAGUAAGUCAGUGGUGAAAUCUCCGGGCUUAACCCGGAAACUGCCAUUGAUACUAUUAGUCUUGAAUACCAUGGAGGUGAGCGGAAUAUGUCAUGUAGCGGUGAAAUGCUUAGAUAUGACAUAGAACACCAAUUGCGAAGGCAGCUCGCUACGCGGUUAUUGACACUGAGGCACGAAAGCGUGGGGAUCAAACAGG
Molecule: ribosomal RNA, 253 nt
Filed under: uncultured bacterium
Lineage: Bacteria
Description: partial 16S ribosomal RNA
Rfam family: Bacterial small subunit ribosomal RNA
Source: RNAcentral